GGAUGUGGCUCAGUUUGGUAGAGCGCUUGACUGGGGGUCAAGAGGCCGCAGGUUCAAGUCCUGUCAUU
This 68-nucleotide transfer RNA is filed under the name bovine gut metagenome. It matches the Rfam family "tRNA", at positions 5 to 66 of the family's 71-position model. Rfam says of the family: Transfer RNA (tRNA) molecules are approximately 80 nucleotides in length. The record is from RNAcentral.